AUUGAACGCUGGCGGCAUGCCUUACACAUGCAAGUCGAACGGCAGCACGGGAGCAAUCCUGGUGGCGAGUGGCGAACGGGUGAGUAAUACAUCGGAACGUGCCCAGUCGUGGGGGAUAACGUAGCGAAAGCUACGCUAAUACCGCAUACGAUCUGUGGAUGAAAGCGGGGGUCCGUAAGGCCUCGCGCGAUUGGAGCGGCCGAUGUCAGAUUAGGUAGUUGGUGGGGUAAAGGCCCACCAAGCCGACGAUCUGUAGCUGGUCUGAGAGGAUGAUCAGCCACACUGGAACUGAGACACGGUCCAGACUCCUACGGGAGGCAGCAGUGGGGAAUAUUGGACAAUGGGCGCAAGCCUGAUCCAGCCAUGCCGCGUGGGUGAAGAAGGCCUCGGUU
This 392-nucleotide ribosomal RNA is filed under the name uncultured bacterium. Its description in RNAcentral is "bacterial SSU rRNA". It matches the Rfam family "Bacterial small subunit ribosomal RNA", at positions 30 to 424 of the family's 1533-position model. The record is from RNAcentral.